Long non-coding RNA from Pelobates fuscus (common spadefoot toad), 741 nucleotides. RefSeq lists it as uncharacterized. The transcript has 3 exons. The record is from RefSeq and is a predicted model, not a curated record. Lineage: Eukaryota; Metazoa; Chordata; Amphibia; Anura; Pelobatidae.
CAUAUGCCAUGGCAUGCUUUUUGCUACGAAACCGCAGCCAUCUAGUCACUCGCCAGAGAAGGAUGAGAAACUGCACCCCAGCGAGAGGGACUGCCUCACAUCAGCAACCAAAUCCGUUGGUCACCGAAUUCAGUAAUCUCCGUCUCUUUGUCCAUUCUCUCUGACAAGCAUGUUCUCCUAUGGGACACGAAGUACAUGAAGAGGAAUGAAGAAGCCCAUGUUUUAUGGUCGUCUCCAGGGUGGAGAAUUUAAUUUAUAAGUAAUGAAGUGGCAUCUGACACGUGACAAGCUGCUCCUGUUUGCACAGCAACUUCAACAUUGUGUACUGUGAUCACGGCAUAGUUCAGAGCUCCACAGAAAAGAAGCAAACCACUUUGAGGAUUCACUACAUAAGAGACUAUUGGAUACUGAAGGACUGUUCUGUCAAGGAAGAUCACAGCUUCAUCCAAGCCUUAGUCACAUUGAUUCUUAAGACUAAAGAGCGACUAACAAUAUCCCAUGUGCACAAAUUAUGUAUCUAUUAAAUGGCCAACAUACGUUUUCACUUUGUUUAAUUUCAAAUUAUUGCUAGACUUCUUUAUACUGCCACUUUUAAAAAGAUUAAAACAAUUACUUUAGAAAUUGUUUGGGUGGUGUUCCCAAGUUCACUUAAGCCUGCAAUGUGAAAUAUUGCCUAUUCUGUGUAACUGCAAAAAUUUUCUUGCAAAAUUAACUCCUCCUCUAUUGCCUGUCUCUUUUUAU